RNAcentral lists this ribosomal RNA (262 nucleotides) under uncultured bacterium. RNAcentral's name for it is "partial 16S ribosomal RNA". It matches the Rfam family "Bacterial small subunit ribosomal RNA", at positions 524 to 785 of the family's 1533-position model. The record is from RNAcentral.
GACAGAGGUGCCGAGCGUUAGGCGGAAUCACUGGACUUAAAAGCGCGUGUAGGUGGACGGGUAAGUAUCUUGUGAAAUCCCACGGCUCAACCGUGGAACUGCUGGAUAUACUGCUUGUCUUGAGCACUUAGGGGCAGCUGGAACAAAUGGUGGAGCGGUGAAAUGCGUAGAUAUCAUUUGGAACGCCAAAGGCGAAAGCAGGCUGCUGGGAGUGAUCUGACACUGAGACGCGAAAGCCAGGGGAGCAAAAGCGGGGAGUUAA